AGUGAACGCUGGCGGUAGGCCUAACACAUGCAAGUCGAACGGCAGCACAGUAAGAGCUUGCUCUUACGGGUGGCGAGUGGCGGACGGGUGAGGAAUACAUCGGAAUCUACUUUUUCGUGGGGGAUAACGUAGGGAAACUUACGCUAAUACCGCAUACGACCUACGGGUGAAAGCAGGGGAUCUUCGGACCUUGCGCGAUUGAAUGAGCCGAUGUCGGAUUAGCUAGUUGGCGGGGUAAAGGCCCACCAAGGCGACGAUCCGUAGCUGGUCUGAGAGGAUGAUCAGCCACACUGGAACUGAGACACGGUCCAGACUCCUACGGGAGACAGCAGUGGGGAAUAUUGGACAAUGGGCGCAAGCCUGAUCCAGCCAUACCGCGUGGGUGAAGAAGGCCUUCGGGUUGUAAAGCCCUUUUGUUGGGAACGAAAAGCAGCAGGUUAAUACCCCGCUGUUCUGACGGUACCCAAAGAAUAAGCACCGGCUAACUUCGUG
RNAcentral lists this ribosomal RNA (492 nucleotides) under uncultured bacterium. RNAcentral describes it as "partial 16S ribosomal RNA". It matches the Rfam family "Bacterial small subunit ribosomal RNA", at positions 29 to 507 of the family's 1533-position model. The record is from RNAcentral.